UUUCCGUAGGUGAACCUGCGGAAGGAUCAUUAUUGUAUAACCGAGGUGCGAGGGCUGUCGCUGACCCGAAAGGUCGUGCACGCCCGAGUGCCCUCACACACAUCCACCUCACCCCUAUGUGCACCACCGCGUGGGUCCCCCUUUGGCUUGUUCGGAGGGGGGCUUACGUUUUCACACAAACUUUGUAUGCAGUGUAGAAUGUAUUUUUUGUUUUUGCGAUCACGCAAUCAAUACAACUUUCAACAAUGGAUCUCUUGGCUCUC
RNAcentral lists this unclassified non-coding RNA (263 nucleotides) under plant metagenome. RNAcentral's name for it is "partial contains small subunit ribosomal RNA, internal transcribed spacer 1, and 5.8S ribosomal RNA". The record is from RNAcentral.